This 253-nucleotide ribosomal RNA is filed under the name uncultured bacterium. Its description in RNAcentral is "partial 16S ribosomal RNA". It matches the Rfam family "Bacterial small subunit ribosomal RNA", at positions 524 to 776 of the family's 1533-position model. The record is from RNAcentral.
UACGUAGGCAGCAAGCGUUGUUCGGAAUUCCUGGGCGUAAAGGGUGCGUAGGCGGCUUUCUAAGUUGGAUGUGAAAACUCUGGGCUCAACCCAGAGACUGCAUCCAAAACUGGAGAGCUUGGGUUCUGGAGGGGAAAGCGGAAUUCCUGGUGUAGCGGUGAAAUGCGUAGAUAUCAGGAGGAACACCGGUGGCGAAGGCGGCUUUCUGGACAGAUACCGACGCUGAGGCACGAAAGCUAGGGGAGCAAACAGG